This 720-nucleotide long non-coding RNA is filed under the name Monodelphis domestica (gray short-tailed opossum). Its description in RNAcentral is "lncRNA (ENSMODG00000040216.1)". Lineage: Eukaryota; Metazoa; Chordata; Mammalia; Didelphimorphia; Didelphidae. The record is from RNAcentral.
CUUAGACUUUACCCUAUGGAACCUGAACAGGCUUCAGUGAGGGCUUUCUCUUGAUCAGCUCUCCCCAAGUCCGUACAACCUCCAGGACCCUCUGUUGGAAAGUGGAGCCCAUUGCCCUGGUUGUCUCCCCUCUUGAUUGUUACUUAAGGUGGAGACUUGUUUGGAUGCCUCUGGAAACACAAACAUAAUCAGAUAUCAAAGGUGGACCUCACGAUCCCAAAAGGGCUUUGGUUGGCUGGAAUCACCACAGUGCCUGCUUUAAAGGGAACAGUUGUCCAGGCCUCGAACAUUCUGGAAUGAUACAAGAUGAUCAAGAGAAAGCCCACAGAGCUCGGAACUCCAAAGAGAGAGGAAUGGAGCCCUUAUUCACAUAUCUGGCUCCUACACUCCUGCGUGUCCCCAGGUGGCAGAAUGGACUGUGUGUGGACAGGGAUGCCCCUACAGAAACCCAAGGGCCAGAAACCUAUUGACCGUGCUCCAGGAAUAGGAGCUUUUCCCACAAGACCUGUGGAAAGUACCAUGUAAUGAAUGUGAAUUGGUUUCUUUCUAAGAAGUCCUCUUCUUCUCUGGAAGACUCUAGAGGAAGUCCCUUCAUCUUUGUGUUGUGUCCUGCUGUGGGGAGGAUGAAGCUCAGAGCUUCAGAAACUCUGGGUUCAGUUAAAAAACCUCUUUGCCAAGCCUGUCCUACCCACCUUGCAUAAAAUAAUUUAAAGAGAAAAA